Molecule: long non-coding RNA, 4780 nt
Organism: Alligator mississippiensis (American alligator)
Lineage: Eukaryota; Metazoa; Chordata; Crocodylia; Alligatoridae
Exons: 6
Source: RefSeq, a predicted model, not a curated record
UGGCCGCCUUUUGAGCAUCCCACGCUGCUCAGAGGCCACUUUCCUAACUCUCCCCGACAUGCAGGCUCAGGCAGCUGCGAAAUCACCAAGCCUGCAUUUGUGUCCAUGCUCCAGCCUCCUCCCUGCUGCUGUCUGUCCCGGCUCCUAAGGGAUCAUCGAGUCUGCCCUGACACGCUGCAAUUAUAACGCAUCGGAGCAUGCUCACCGCACAUUUAUAGGUCCCUUAAGUGAAUACGAGUGAAUGGUGAUCAUCAGUAGGUAACUAAGUAACAAUAGGAACUCCAUUUUAAGCUAAUCAAGCUAAAGAACUGAUUUCUGGAACUAAGCACUCAGCCUAUGGACUAUUCCUGUAACCCAUGACAAUACAGCCAUUAAAUCAAUAAGUCAAGAGUGGACUGCCAAAACUUCAGGUACCAGCAGGCAGAGACCCCUGUGACUAACAGCUGUCAUGUACUACUCAAGACCCAAGUGGGACAGUGACCUCUGGAUUGAGUAGCCAAGAUGAUGCUGCAGGAAUCACACAAGUCUGCCAAAAAGGGAUAAAAGGCAGUGAAGUUGACCCUCAGUGGCAACGUCUCAUCUAGCACCUGACCUACCAAGACAGAUGGACAAGCAGGCAACCCCCUUCUUGAAAUGACAUAACCUUGAAGGAAGCUGACCAUCAACAGCAGACUCCAGGGCCUCCCAUAGGCUCACGCAUGUCUUGACAGCCGUCUCGAAAGAAGAGAAUUAGUGCAGACUAUCAGACUUCUUCUCCAGUCUCAGGGCCACUCUAGCAGCAUGGAGCAGCUGCUCUGGAACCGUGGCUUCCAGGACACUCUUCUCCUUGCUCUUGGCAAGUACCUUCCUUGUUUCCUCAUCUUCACAUCCAGGAAUAAACUAAUUUGAUGAAAUUAAAAGUGCACCCAAAAAAUCAGCACUGAAGCAUGAAAAACUUCACAGGAAAAUAUAUUUUACUAGGAAGAAAGAUGCUCAAACCCGUGAAGUUCCAAUGUCCUUCUGCAAGCUGCUGAAAGCAUUUGACACUCUUGACAAUAACUGCUGGAUCAAGACCUGGCAGAACAUCUAUAUUCUUUUGAAGGCCAUUGCAGGUAUUGGUCAGACUGCAAAAGGAAUAAAUUGACUGAACACUGAAGAAAAUAACUGCUGCAUUAGAGCCAGAUGAAUGGGUGAUGAGGAUAAAUUAAUUAUUUUCAUACAACAUUAAGGUAUCAUAGCAUGGAAUCCUCUCAAUGAAUCCUAUUAAUAGAGGUAAUACUGAGAGGUUGGGAGUCAGGAUAAAAGUCAGGAUAAUAUCUGCCCACUGACUUUUCCCAACUGUUUUAUUUAUUUAUUUUUGUUUUAGUACAGUAUGGUCAAAAGUGGCAGAACUGGCAAGAGUUUUAUUUUUAAAUGCUUACAAUUGCUUCUUGGAGAAAGAAACAUAAAAUAAUGCCAACUGAUAGGAUUCUGUUUAGAAUCCUUUGUUUAUGAGGAAUGCUCCCCUUCAACUCUUUUGUCAUAAGUUUAUUUGUUUAUUUUUAAUUAGAUCCCAGGUUACUAAACCUUCCUAAUCUUUUGCUCACCCUUCCUUAAAAUGAAAAUACCUGUGUGAUGCUGAGAUUAACAUUUGUAAACAGGACUUGUGGCUAAAAAGCCUUUGGCUAUGCCCCUAGAAAUAUGGCUGGGCAUUUCUUGGCUUGCUGAACUUAUUUAUUUUUUCUUCAUUAAAAAAAAAUAAAAUACGCAUACCAACAAAUUAUCUCAACACAUAAGCAAUAAAAGUAAUGCAUGCAUUUUUAAAUGUUUUUACAUACUGGCACAAAGCCAAUUUGCAGGCUCUACCAACAACAACUGCUAUCCUAAAGAACAAUGAAUUCAAACUUUACUCACUUAUCUUCCCAGGCAACAUCCUCUGAGAUAAUAAAUAAGGCCUUGUAGCCAUCCCAGAAUGUUAACAUAACAGUAUCAGGCUCCACUAAACCAACAGAAGGAGCCAAUUCCAAAUAAAGGGCUUCUCACUUAAGGUGUUUUUCUGCCAUCUGGUUUUCACUUACAACUGUGGGCUGUUUCUUUAUGAAAUUACAGAAUGUGUGUCAAGAGGUAGUUGUAGAUGAGCUGGGGGUCUUAUUUUGUCAAUCAUGGGGAAAAGAGUCUUAGGGUACGAACAGAUGUUGCCUGAUGUUGUAUUUCUGCUGCCAAAACAAUUUCUAUGGUGGCACAAACAUUGAUUAUUAUGCCGCAUCAGUGGCACAACAAAAAACUAAAAUUGUGCCACUUGAUUAUGGUCAAUGUCUGUUUAGUCUGAGGUGGUAGAGUGCAGGCAACCUGGAGUUGAGCUGCCCACACUUUACCAUCAUCUUGGGCAGGUGCUCCAAGGGCCUGGUCCUGUGCACCCAGGUAGGGUUGGACUUCUCAAGCCCCCAAACCUCUUGCCUGGCUUUCUCCACUUACAAAGAGGAGCCCCAGGGGUGCAUCUCCACAACUGGGGAAAUGUUAUGUGGGUCCUGGCAUGGAGGCAUGAGACCCAGGGAACCCUGGGCCUGCAGGCUGGUAUCUGCACUGAGCAAUGCCUCUGCAGGAUGCACUAAAGAUUCCCUGGCUCCUGCAAGAGGACCCACAUUAACCCAUGCUUCAUGCAGAAGCACGGAUCAGUGUGGGUCUUGCUGUGGAGACAUGGCCCACUGAGGAUUCCCCAAAUCCCAUGACACUCCCCACCAUCCUGUGCUUGGAUCCAUACUGACCUAUGCCUCAAUAUGAAGAAUAGGUUAGUGUAAGUCCUGGCAAGGAGAUGCAGGCUGGCAUGGGAACUGAGGAAUUUUUAGGGCCCCAUGCCUCUAUGCCAGGACCUGCAUAGACCUGUGCCUCCAGGUUGGCAUGGGGCUCAGUACACAUACCAGCAGGGAAGCAUAUGGUCCUGGGAAUUCUCCAGCUCCCAUACUGCCCUGCACCUGCUUGCCUGGACCUUGCCUGCUUCAGCCUGGAUCUGCUUCAGGCAGAAGUAUGGGUCAGCAUGGAUCCUGGCAUGAAACAGUGUGGAGAAGCCAGAGAAUCCCUGGUGUCCCAUGCCUUCUUUUAGAACCCACACCAGCCCACACUUCAGGUGGAGGCACAGGUCAGCACUGGUGUGAAGGCAUAGUGCACUGGGGAUUCCCUGACUCCUGCACCACCAUGUCAACCCAUGCCUUCAUGUGAGGCAUGGCCAGGGGAACAUGUCACCCCCUGUCCUGCAUCAAUCAAACAUGUCACCUCCUGUCCUGCAUCCAAUCUGAUGUUGGACAAGGAGCAAUGUGUGUGUUGCCCAGUAAAGCUCAUCAGCUAUGGUGGGACAUGUGUAUUUCUAUUCUUAGAUUAUUUCUCUCACAAUUACCAUGAGCAACAUCCCAUGACAGAGAGAUUUUCCUUAUUGUACUAAUUGCCCCUAUGCUUUUAAAUUAUGAAAAACUUACAGCCACAUAUUUCUAUCAAUUGGCUUUACUAGUGGGUACAGGUGAGAUCCAUAUAUUUUAUUUAUAGAUGCUAGAGAAGUAAACUGGAUGUAGUAAUAAGCAUAAGUCAUAUAAAAUGGUACCCAGCUAUAUUUAAUAAUCUUGGCAUAAUUUUAGAAAGUGAUGUAACAUACAGGUACCUAUCUUCAUUAUUUCAAUCUUCCAUAUAACUGUUGUGUCUGAUCACCUUGUAUCCAAAGAAAUGUGUGCAUCAGAUGCAAGUAGCAUGAGGAAAGUAACAGACCACUUCAGCUGUAAGGGCUAAUCAGGAUGAAGCCCAUGCCAGGUGAAGAUGAAGACCAUGCUAAAAAUCCCAUUUGUUAAAAUGUGGAAAAGAGCCAUGAGAAAAUAAAGGAUUUGUGCCACAACAUGAUCGUACAAAGUGGUAUUUCAAUAUCUUUUAACAUAAGCUUUUAGAUGAGAUAGCAAUUCUUCUUGUAGUAUUGAUUGGCCAUGAGCAUUUUUUUUAAACUUACCUUUGUUUUUACAAUUUACUUUGUUGUAAAUUUCCAAUAAAAAUCUGCUUGGCUUAUGGUAAAUCACACUAUGCAGUAUAUAACAAAAACUGCUUUUUACUGCACUUACUAAUACAUUGAUUUUUAUGGUGCCUGUAGCUAUACAGAGUUAGUUACAAGUAAGGUUGUAAAAAAAGACCCCUUUUUCCACGUGUCCACACUCCAUGUGGGUUUGUACCCACUAAAUAUUUUUUAUUAUUUGCUUAUUGUUACAGCACACAGGAGCUGCAUUAAUGUACUAGGGAUCCAUUGUGCUAGCAUGAUACAGACUCACAGCAAAAAAAUGAUUAUUGCACCGGAGACUUUAUCAACUCAAUAUGGCAGAGGAGACAACAGAUGUACAUAAAUAGAGUGAAAAGUACAAGGGAACAAUGAAGUACUAGUAGUCAUCCUGAUAGACAGAAGUAAUAAAUGUACAUCAGGCUCACAGUUGUAAAGAGUACAGAAAAGGAAAGGAUUAUGGAGGGUUUGAAGGAGAAUAAUGACAUAGCUUUGUAGGUAAUUAUGGGGAAUAUUAUGGACAUUGUGGCUGAUUCAGAUGUGCAGGCAUGCGUGGUUUGUGGCACAGCAAGCCACACAUGUUCAACGUUAAGCUAUGCCUAGUGCUGCUAAUUUGCAGUGUUGAGCCAAAAAAAAAAAAGAGAGGCACAAAGCACUCCUGGACUGGCUGGGGCUCAGUGUGCCUCAAGAUGGGAGCAGGCAGCCUUCGGCUGCCUGAUCCCUUGUCUCAGCAUGCCUGCUUCACUGUGGAGCCCCCACGCUGAGGCACAUGGAGCACCCACACUGAGCCACCCUCCA